This 68-nucleotide transfer RNA is filed under the name Pseudis tocantins. RNAcentral describes it as "tRNA-Ser". Lineage: Eukaryota; Metazoa; Chordata; Amphibia; Anura; Hylidae. The record is from RNAcentral.
GAGCCUGUAUGGUUCAGGUAAGAACUGCUAAUUACUUACCUCCAUGGUUCAACUCCAUGGCAAGCUCG